RNAcentral lists this ribosomal RNA (475 nucleotides) under Micrococcus sp. HPC20. Its description in RNAcentral is "bacterial SSU rRNA". It matches the Rfam family "Bacterial small subunit ribosomal RNA", at positions 989 to 1463 of the family's 1533-position model. The record is from RNAcentral. Lineage: Bacteria; Bacillati; Actinomycetota; Actinomycetes; Micrococcales; Micrococcaceae.
UUUUUGAUCGCCGUAGAGAUACGGUUUCCCCUUUGGGGCGGGUUCACAGGUGGUGCAUGGUUGUCGUCAGCUCGUGUCGUGAGAUGUUGGGUUAAGUCCCGCAACGAGCGCAACCCUCGUUCCAUGUUGCCAGCACGUCGUGGUGGGGACUCAUGGGAGACUGCCGGGGUCAACUCGGAGGAAGGUGAGGACGACGUCAAAUCAUCAUGCCCCUUAUGUCUUGGGCUUCACGCAUGCUACAAUGGCCGGUACAAUGGGUUGCGAUACUGUGAGGUGGAGCUAAUCCCAAAAAGCCGGUCUCAGUUCGGAUUGGGGUCUGCAACUCGACCCCAUGAAGUCGGAGUCGCUAGUAAUCGCAGAUCAGCAACGCUGCGGUGAAUACGUUCCCGGGCCUUGUACACACCGCCCGUCAAGUCACGAAAGUCGGUAACAUCCGAAGCCGCAUGCUAACCCCAUAGGGUGAUACCUUGAUCAU